Molecule: ribosomal RNA, 1324 nt
Filed under: Nisia sp. NS-2013
Lineage: Eukaryota; Metazoa; Arthropoda; Insecta; Hemiptera; Meenoplidae
Description: SSU rRNA
Rfam family: Eukaryotic small subunit ribosomal RNA
Source: RNAcentral
CAAAUUACCCACUCCCGGCACGGGGAGGUAGUGACGAAAAAUAACGAUACGGGACUCAUCCGAGGCCCCGUAAUCGGAAUGAGUAUACUCUAAAUCCUUAUACGAGUACCAAUUGGAGGGCAAGUCUGGUGCCAGCAGCCGCGGUAAUUCCAGCUCCAAUAGCGUAUAUUAAAGUUGUUGCGGUUAAAAAGCUCGUAGUUGGAUCUGUGUCCCGCUGCGUCGGUUCGCCGCCUGUCGGUGUUUAACUGGCGUGUAUGCGGGACGUCCUGCCGGUGGUGGUCCGGGGCCAGGCGGGUACGUAAGGUUCGGCCUGGCUUCACAGCUUGCGUCGUCCUGAAGGCCCGUUUGCGUUCCCGGCCGCCUUUUCGAUCCCGUCGCGAUGCUCUUAAACGGGUGUCGAGGCGGGCCGGCACGUUUACUUUGAACAAAUUAGAGUGCUUUAAGCAGGCCCUGUCCCGCCUGUAUGUUGUGUGCAUGGAAUAAUGGAAUAGGACCUCGGUUCUAUUUUGUUGGUUUUCGGAAUCUGAGGUAAUGAUCAAUGGAGACAGGCGGGGGCAUUCGUAUUGCGACGUUAGAGGUGAAAUUCUUGGAUCGUCGCAAGACGGACCGAAGCGAAAGCAUUUGCCAAGUAUGUUCUCGUCGAUCAAGAACGAAAGUUAGAGGUUCGAAGGCGAUCAGAUACCGCCCUAGUUCUAACCAUAAACUAUGCCUGCCAGCGAUCCGCCGAAGUUCCUCCGAUGACUCGGCGGGCAGCUUCCGGGAAACCAGAGCUUUUGGGUUCCGGGGGAAGUAUGGUUGCAAAGCUGAAACUUAAAGGAAUUGACGGAAGGGCACCACCAGGAGUGGAGCCUGCGGCUUAAUUUGACUCAACACGGGAAAACUCACCAGGCCCGGACACCGGAAGGAUUGACAGAUUGAGAGCUCUUUCUUGAUUCGGUGGGUGGUGGUGCAUGGCCGUUCUUAGUUGGUGGAGCGAUUUGUCUGGUUAAUUCCGAUAACGAACGAGACUCUAGCCUACUAACUAGGCGUACCCGGUAUCCACAAUCGUGCUACCGGCGAUAAACUAUCUUCUUAGAGGGACAGGCGGCUUCUAGCCGCACGAGACUGAGCAAUAACAGGUCUGUGAUGCCCUUAGAUGUCCUGGGCCGCACGCGCGCUACACUGAAGGAAUCAGCGUGUCUUCCCUGCCCGAAAGGGCCGGGUAACCCGCUGAACCUCCUUUGUGCUAGGGAUUGGGGCUUGCAAUUGUUCCCCAUGAACGAGGAAUUCCCAGUAAGCGCGAGUCAUAAGCUCGCGUUGAUUACGUCCCUGCCCUUUGUACACA